AUGUUCACUUGUGUGCUUAUACUGCUGACUUUAACUCAAGGUAACAGAGCUAAAGAUGUCAUCACCCCAUACAGUGAUGCAGCAUUUGCCGAGACUGAGUCUGUGAAACUCUCUUGUAACUACACUGGUUCUGUCAAGAGUCUUCACUGGUAUCGGCAAUAUGCAGGUUCACCACCACAGUUCCUCAUCCUGGAUUCCUAUGGAUCAAUUACGCAAGCUAAUCCUCCAGUUUCUGGAAUAUCCAUCAGUCACAGAAAAGAAGAUAACAGUGUGGAUCUGAUCAUCUCCUCUGCUUCAGUAUCAGACUCUGCUCUGUAUUACUGUGCUCUGCAGCCCACAGUGACAGGAAACACUCAACACACCAUACAAGAACCUGACCGACUCUAUAGUCAUAAAAUUAGAUGUCAGAAAAACAAAUAG
Molecule: non-coding RNA, 420 nt
Organism: Sinocyclocheilus anshuiensis
Lineage: Eukaryota; Metazoa; Chordata; Actinopteri; Cypriniformes; Cyprinidae
Source: the annotation of a RefSeq genome assembly